UACGUAGGGUGCAAGCGUUGUCCGGAAUUACUGGGCGUAAAGAGCUCGUAGGUGGUUUGUCGCGUCGUCUGUGAAAUCCCGGGGCUUAACUUCGGGCGUGCAGGCGAUACGGGCAUAACUUGAGUGCUGUAGGGGAGACUGGAAUUCCUGGUGUAGCGGUGAAAUGCGCAGAUAUCAGGAGGAACACCGAUGGCGAAGGCAGGUCUCUGGGCAGUUACUGACGCUGAGGAGCGAAAGCAUGGGUAGCGAACAGGAUUAGAUA
This 262-nucleotide ribosomal RNA is filed under the name uncultured prokaryote. RNAcentral's name for it is "partial 16S ribosomal RNA". It matches the Rfam family "Bacterial small subunit ribosomal RNA", at positions 524 to 784 of the family's 1533-position model. The record is from RNAcentral.